GUGUCCAAUAAUGGGGGAUAACGAGUCGAAAGAUUCGCUAAUACCGCAUACGCCCUACGGGGGAAAGCAGGGGAUCGUAAGACCUNGCGUUAAUGGAGCGGCCGAUAUCUGAUUAGCUUGUUGGUGAGGUAAAGGCUCACCAAGGCGACGAUCAGUAGCUGGUUUGAGAGAACGACCAGCCACACUGGAACUGAGACACGGUCCAGACUCCUACGGGAGGCAGCAGUGGGGAAUUUUGGACAAUGGGGGAAACCCUGAUCCAGCAAUGCCGCGUGUGUGAAGAAGGCCUUCGGGUUGUAAAGCACUUUUGUCAGGAACGAAACGGUGGGGGCUAAUACCUCCUGCUAAUGACGGUACCUGAAGAAUAAGCACCGGCUAACUACGUGCCAGCAGCCGCGGUAAUACGUAGGGUGCGAGCGUUAAUCGGAAUUACUGGGCGUAAAGCGUGCGCAGGCGGUUGUGCAAGACAGAUGUGAAAUCCCCGGGCUCAACCUGGGAAUGGCAUUUGUGACUGCACGGCUAGAGUGUGUCAGANGGGGGUAGAAUUCCACGUGUAGCAGUGAAAUGCGUAGAUAUGUGGAGGAAUACCGAUGGCGAANGCAGCCCCCUGGGAUAACACUGACGCUCAUGCACGAAAGCGUGGGGAGCAAACAGGAUUANAUACCCU
Molecule: ribosomal RNA, 667 nt
Filed under: uncultured bacterium
Lineage: Bacteria
Description: bacterial SSU rRNA
Rfam family: Bacterial small subunit ribosomal RNA
Source: RNAcentral